RNAcentral lists this long non-coding RNA (1592 nucleotides) under Ananas comosus (pineapple). Its description in RNAcentral is "long non-coding RNA (ACOM_LNC015312)". The record is from RNAcentral. Lineage: Eukaryota; Viridiplantae; Streptophyta; Magnoliopsida; Poales; Bromeliaceae.
AGCGACCGUCACCCUGGUUAUUUCUUUCCCGCACUUAGUAGUUUUCUUAAUAAAUGGUUCAGUUAGAUGUUUGAAUGUGGUGAUUUCCGUUAUGCAUGAGAUUAUGGAUGUUUUAUUAUACAUGAGAUUGGAGUUUUCGAUCUGUGGUUUUGGUUCUGUGGAGAUUUGGUUUUCUUGUAGUCCUGCAUCGUGUUUUUCUACCCCUCGAGGUAGUCGGUUUUCAAAAUAAAGUUUCCGUGUGGGAAACAGUUUUAAAAAGGUUUUCGAAUGGCUUUUAUAAAUGAUUGAAUUAGAGUUUAAAAACAAAAGCUUCCAUGUGGGGAGCACUUUUAAAUAUGAUGUUUGUUGUAUUGUGCAUCGCAUCAUCCAGCGCCUAAGGAGUGCUUAGAGGCAUGCAUCAUUCUAAGGAUUGUUAGCUGUAUGGAAAUGUGUGACGCCCCAACUUCCCAGGGGGUCACCCAUCCUAGGACUACUCCCGUCCUAGCACGCUUAACUCUCUUAACCUCUUGGGUCUUGCCACCACCCAAAAUGCUUAAGCCGGGUUAAGAGUUUAGCCCUAUUAUAUCUUAUAUAUAGGACUAUCUGGGGUCUCACAAUCUCCCCUCCUUUAAGCCCUGACGUCCUCGUCAGGCUCAGACUCACAAGUACCAGGCGAUGUGAGACUCAUCUCGCUAGCCCGUCAUCCAGACCCUGGCUCAGCCGAGACUCAUCUCACAUUUCCGGCUGGUAAUUGGCUCUGAUACCAUCUGUGACGCCCCGACUUCCCAGGGGUCACCCAUCCUAGGACUACUCCCGUCCUAGCACGCUUAACUCUCUUAACCUCUUAGGUCUAGCCACCACCCAAAAUGCUUAAGCCGGGUUAAGAGUUUAGUCCUAUUAUAUCUCAUAUAUAGGACUAUCUGGGGUCUCACAAUCUCCCCUCCUUUAAGGUCCUGACGUCCUCGUCAGUCCAAUCACACACAGCCCAAGAUCACCAGGCUAUGUGAGACUCGUCUCGCUAGCCCGUCAUCCAGACCCUGGCUCAGCCGAGACUCAUCUCACACUUCCGGCUGGUAAUUGGCUCUGAUACCAUCUGUGACGCCCCAACUUCCCAGGGGGUCACCCAUCCUAGGACUACUCCCGUCCUAGCACGCUUAACUCUCUUAACCUCUUAGGUCUAGCCACCACCCAAAAUGCUUAAGCCGGGUUAAGAGUUUAGUCCUAUUAUAUCUCAUAUAUAGGACUAUCUGGGGUCUCACAAUCUCCCCUCCUUUAAGGUCCUGACGUCCUCGUCAGUCCAAUCACACACAGCCCAAGAUCACCAGGCUAUGUGAGACUCGUCUCGCUAGCCCGUCAUCCAGACCCUGGCUCAACCGAGACUAGCCACACAUGUCCAGCUGGUGAACCGGCUCUGAUACCAAAUGUAACGACCCAGCCCACUAGCAAUAAUAACUCGUUGGGCCCAGUCAACAGCCCAAAAUGCUUAAGCCCAGUUAUUAUUACUAGUGUCUAAGUCUCUUAUAAACCCAAUGACAACCCCUUUCCCAUCCGAUGUGAGACUAUUGGGAUGUCACAGACUCCCCCCGUUAAGGCCCUGACGUCUUCGUCAGUCC